Molecule: transfer RNA, 67 nt
Filed under: Laevipilina antarctica
Lineage: Eukaryota; Metazoa; Mollusca; Monoplacophora; Tryblidiida; Neopilinidae
Description: tRNA-Lys
Source: RNAcentral
AGACCAAAGAGCUCGGCCUGAGCAAUAGAAUUUUAACCUGUGGGAAGUCCAAUAAGAACUUUUGGUC